GUUUUGAGAGGAAAAGUUAUUUGAAUUCAGUCUCCGUGGAUGUUAUGUCCCUGACCAACGAACAAUUCUGAUAAGAUAUUGACAUCAUUGAAGCUUUGGAGGCUCAUGAUGGAGCAAGCAAGGGGAAAUACACGAUUGGGCUCGGACAGGAUUGCAUGGCGUUCUGUUCUGAGGUUGAAGAUGUAAUCUCAAUGAGCUUGACAGUUGUCACUUCCCUUCUUGAGAAGUAUAGAAUUGACCCAAA
Non-coding RNA from Cucurbita pepo subsp. pepo (vegetable marrow), 244 nucleotides. The record is from RefSeq and is a predicted model, not a curated record. Lineage: Eukaryota; Viridiplantae; Streptophyta; Magnoliopsida; Cucurbitales; Cucurbitaceae.